Molecule: ribosomal RNA, 697 nt
Filed under: uncultured bacterium
Lineage: Bacteria
Description: bacterial SSU rRNA
Rfam family: Bacterial small subunit ribosomal RNA
Source: RNAcentral
AGAGUUUGAUCCUGGCUCAGAUUGAACGCUGGCGGCAGGCCUAACACAUGCAAGUCGAGCGGAUGACGGGAGCUUGCUCCUUGAUUCAGCGGCGGACGGGUGAGUAAUGCCUAGGAAUCUGCUGGUAGUGGGGGACAACGUUUCGAAAGGAACGCUAAUACCGCAUACGUCCUACGGGAGAAAGCAGGGGACCUUCGGCCUUGCGCUAUCAGAUGAGCCUAGGUCGGAUUAGCUUGUUGGUGAGGUAAUGGCUCACCAAGGCGACGAUCCGUAACUGGUCUGAGAGGAUGAUCAAGUCACACUGGAACUGAGACACGGUCCAGACUCCUACGGGAGGCAGCAGUGGGGAAUAUUGGACAAUGGGCGAAAGCCUGAUCCAGCCAUGCCGCGUGUGUGAAGAAGGUCUUCGGAUUGUAAAGCACUUUAAGUUGGGAGGAAGGGUUGUAGAUUAAUACUCUGCAAUUUUGCGUUACCGACAGAAUAAGCACCGCUACUCUGUNCAGCAGCCGCGGUAAUACAGAGGGUGCAAGCGUUAAUCGGAAUUACUGGCGUAAACCCCCCUANGUGGUUUGUAAGUUGAUGUGAACCCGGCUCAACUGGGACUGAUUCAAACUGCAACUAAAUCCGNNAAAGNGGNGAAUUCUGUUCGGGAAUNCUAAUUAGAAGACACACGCAAGCACACUNCUGUCUCCUNGUG